This 88-nucleotide transfer RNA is filed under the name Luminiphilus sp. RNAcentral describes it as "tRNA-Leu". It matches the Rfam family "tRNA". Rfam says of the family: Transfer RNA (tRNA) molecules are approximately 80 nucleotides in length. Lineage: Bacteria; Pseudomonadati; Pseudomonadota; Gammaproteobacteria; Cellvibrionales; Halieaceae. The record is from RNAcentral.
GCCCGAGUGGUGAAAUUGGUAGACACAGGGGACUUAAAAUCCCCCGGCCAUUGCGGCUGUGCCGGUUCAAGUCCGGCCUCGGGCACCA